AUUGCCUCAGUAACGGCGAGUGAAGCGGCAACAGCUCAAAUUUGAAAUCUGGCCUCUGGCCCGAGUUGUAAUUUGCAGAGGAUGUUUCUGGCGAGGUGCCUUCCGAGUUCCCUGGAACGGGACGCCAUAGAGGGUGAGAGCCCCGUACGGUUGGUCGCUAAGCCUCUGUGAAACUCCUUCGACGAGUCGAGUAGUUUGGGAAUGCUGCUCUAAAUGGGAGGUGUACGCCUUCUUAAGCUAAAUACCGGCUAGAGACCGAUAGCGCACAAGUAGAGUGAUCGAAAGAUGAAAAGCACUUUGAAAAGAGGGUUAAAAAGUACGUGAAAUUGUUGAAAGGGAAGCGCUCUUGACCAGACUUGCGCCGGUUGAUCAUCCGCCGUUCUCGGUGGUGCACUCUGCCGGCUCAGGCCAGCAUCAGUUCGGUCCGGGGGAUAAAGGCUUCGGGAAUGUGGCUCUCUCCGGGGAGUGUUAUAGCCCGUUGCGUAAUACCCUGGGCUGGACUGAGGUUCGCGCAUCUGCAUGGAUGCUGGCGUAAUGGUUAUCAGUGACCCGUCUUGAAACACGGACCAAGGAGUCGUCUUCGUAUGCGAGUGUUCGGGUGUCAAACCCCUACGCGUAAUGAAAGUGAACGUAGGAGAGAGCUUCGGCGCAUCUCCGACCGAUCCUGAUGUUCUCGGAUGGAUUUGAGUAAGAGCAUACGGGGCCGGACCCGAAAGAAGGUGAACUAUGCCUGUAUAGGGUGAAGCCAGAGGAAACUCUGGUGGAGGCUCGCAGCGGUUCUGACGUGCAAAUCGAUCGUCAAAUAUGGGCAUGGGGGCGAAAGACUAAUCGAACCUUCUAGUAGCUGGUUUCCGCCGAAGUU
RNAcentral lists this ribosomal RNA (862 nucleotides) under Gliomastix murorum. Its description in RNAcentral is "LSU rRNA". It matches the Rfam family "Eukaryotic large subunit ribosomal RNA", at positions 74 to 968 of the family's 3401-position model. The record is from RNAcentral. Lineage: Eukaryota; Fungi; Ascomycota; Sordariomycetes; Hypocreales; Bionectriaceae.